RNAcentral lists this long non-coding RNA (2753 nucleotides) under Sus scrofa (pig). RNAcentral describes it as "lncRNA (ENSSSCG00005032685.1)". The record is from RNAcentral. Lineage: Eukaryota; Metazoa; Chordata; Mammalia; Artiodactyla; Suidae.
AAGAAAGAUUCUGCUCCUUGGGGAAAGCCUCCUUCUGCUCGAGUGCUGCUCUGUGCAGAGAUGAGGGAGGGGUCGCCCCCCGUUCCGGUGAGGUCCCUGUGGCCGGCAGAUCUGCAUCCAUCUCUCCAGCUCCUGGUUCAGCCCAUGAGAGAUGGCGACGGCGGCCUGGGACUCAACAGGCUGACGUGGGAAAGUCUCUGGUCUCGAUGUCAUCGUGCGUUUCCUUCAUAAUCACCUUUGCACUUGUGGGUUAGGUGUCCGGCGUUGUCACUGCAGUGGCCCGGGUCGCUGCUGUGGUGUGGGGGUUUGAUCUCUAGCCCUGGAAUUUCCACAUGCCGCAGGCACAGCACCGGCCCCCUCAAAAAGAAGAAUCACUUUUGCAAAGAUAAAACAAAGUGAAACGUUACUCCCAAAUUUGCACAGCCUCUGUUAGAAUUCAAAUUACGGUGCUAAAGUGGUUUUAUUUAGUGAUGCUCUGUGUGCUUUUUUACUUGGUAUAACUCUGCUGACUGCCUUCAAACCUGCCUGCCAGGCCAGUUGGCUCACCUGCCAGGUUUGCCCAUUUUGCACCAACGUGAUGGCAGAUGGAGUUACUUUUGGUGCCUGUGUGUCUCUAUUUAGUGCAUUUUGAGACUUGUUGGCUGUUGCUGUUGCGGUGACCCAUCCUUCCAAGGUCCUGGCGUGAGUUGGAUCUGCUCAGGCCGGCUGGAUGCCCAGCUGGGGGCUCACCUGUGGGUGGAGUUACCUGGGAAACAAGUGGGAAAAAAUGGCAGGAGGAGAGACCAAGCUGGGGGCUCUCGCGGCCAAACGGGAGGUACGUGCCGUGCGCUCCAGGGCACCGAGGUCCGCGGGCAUCUGUGAAGCUCCGCCAGGAGACUCAGCGCACAUGGGAUUCCUGGCGGUUGAGAAGAGGUUGUCCUCUGAUUUACCUCUGCUCUGAGCCCACGGUGACAUGCAGGGUGCCAGUGACGCAUGCGCGCUUUUGGGGAUGCUGGUGGGAAGAUGUCAAGCUUUGUCCAAGGUAAAAUUUAAUAAGAACCAUUGACAACAAAGCCGAAUGCCUUGUUUCCUGGCACUGAUGAGAAGGAAGACAAACCUCUCUAAGGCACGUGUCAAUCUGACCUUUAGUCUCCCUCUAGCAUUGACCUCCAGAAUCAGCCCAGGUGCCCGUCACUCCUCCUGGAGAAAGGGCCUCUCAGAGCCGGAGUCAGCCCUGGGGGACCUCAGCCCUGGGGGACCACAGCCCUGGUUCCCCCUGGGAAGUGAAGUGCAGGGCUGGGUGUGUGUGCAUGUGUGUGCACAUGCGCUCGUGCAAGCGCUUCAAACACAUGCUGUGUGUGCACAUGUGCUCGUGCAAGUGCUUCAAACACAUGCCUGGAGUUCUCUGGCGGCCUAGCAGCUAAGAGGAUCUGGUAUUGUCACUGCUGUGGCAUGGGUUCCAUCCCUGGCCCAGGCAUAUCUGCAUGAUGUGGGCACAACCAAAAAAAAAAGCAAACAACCCCCCUGCCUUGCACACUUAGAUGCAUGCACACAGACACACUGACACACUUAAUCUCAUGCCGUCACUCACCCCCAUACACUCAUUCACACACUCUUCCAUACUCACACUCUCUCACACCUUCCUUCACUCCCCAUGCUCACCUUCACCCUCAUACACCCUCACACCCUCCCUCACACACUCACACUCGCCCGCACUCCCACCCGCCAGGGUCACAGUCACUGUGCAGGGCCUCCCUUCUCCACCCCCACCCCGUCUCCCUCACCUGCUCACCUGCCGGCUUCGGGACAGGUUGCUGAUACCAGCAGGCAGCAGGCGCCACUAGCCAGGUGUGGCGGGCCAGCCCUGUUUGUUUGUGGUCGUCCUUGGUAACGGUGGCUCAGCCCCACACGGAGCCGCCACCUGGCCAUUCACUGCAGGCCUCUGGGGCCUCGCCGGGGCUUCCUUAGUCAAGGAGUGCUGGCCCUGCCUCCUGCCUUGUCCCUCCCACACCCUCUGUCACCCUCUGUCCCCCUGACUCCCAGGCUUCUUCUGGCGAGAAAGGGGAGCCAUUCGUAUCACAAGAGGAAUGUGGACCCAGGAGUUUGGACCCAGGGACCGCGUCCCCACCCUGUAAGGAUCCGCCCACGUGGCCCAGCCUCCUUGGGACUCAGCGCCCUGACCGGAUGCUCAGCAGCUUCCUGGGCUCUGCAGCCGGUGAGAAGGACCUGCAGGUGCCCUGGCCUUGUUGUGACUGUUAUCUUCCUGCUGCCACUUGAUCGGGCCACCUCCAAAAGAGGAAGGGGGCUUGGCGAGGAAGGCACUGCUCUGACCCCCCGCCCCCACCCCGCGCGCGCACUGGCCAUGCCCUCGGGGGUCAGUGGGAGGCACACAGGCAGGACAGUGUUGGGGAGCACAGCAGCGUCGGGACCCUCCUGCAGUCCCAGGGUGCGUCCUGGCUGCCCGCUCUGCUUUCAGCUCCAUCAGUGACAUGAGACGGGCCCCGCAGAGGCCGACCGCUCAAGAAGCCUCCGCUCCUUCCAUGCUGAGCAUGGCUGAGGCUCCCCAGAAAUGACCCAGUGUCACGGUAUCUCCUUUUGUCAAAUGACAGCAGCAGAGACCCAGCCAGCCCCGAGAGGCGUGUGAUCAGAGGUUGCCCUGGAGACGGGGACCGAAAGCAGGUCGUGAGUCCCCGCUGUGCGAAAGCCCACCUGGAGCAGGCUCCGGAGGUGUCCUCACCACCCGCUUCUCCGUGCCGUGACAGACCGUCCAGGUG